RNAcentral lists this ribosomal RNA (900 nucleotides) under Triticum aestivum (bread wheat). RNAcentral's name for it is "partial small subunit ribosomal RNA". The record is from RNAcentral. Lineage: Eukaryota; Viridiplantae; Streptophyta; Magnoliopsida; Poales; Poaceae.
AUCCGGUGAACCCCCGCCGCUCGCCGGCCCGUGCUCGGGUUCGACGACUACAACAAAUCUCGUCGUAGCUUCACCAUCCACGCAUCCUGCGACGGCCUCCUCGUCCUUUCCCUCUCCAACUGCCGCUUCUACAUCUGCAACCCGGUGACGCGACAGUGGCUCCAGCUACCGGAUCUGACCGGCGCCCUGUACCCUCACGGCCCGUCGGGUGACUACCGUGUCCUCUUCUGGAAGUAUCCAGACAACAUGAGUUGCAGCGUUGUCUACUACGUCCUCACCGUCAGCUCGUUGCAGGGACAACAGAGAUGCAUUGGGCUGCCAAUGAAGAAGGACAGGUCCUGGUGGUACCUUCAAGCCUCCGAGCACCUGCCUCUCCUGCUACAUGGCUGCCUGCACUGGCAUGCUUUCAAUGCCUUCGACAGCAAGAUCAUAAUUUUCGACACGGUGGCAGAGUCAUUCAGCUGGGUGCAAUCCCCCACAGCCACCAGCUUGGCACAUCUGCUUCAGAUGGAUGGUAUGCUCGGCAUCAGCUGUAUAGAUACCGCUACCAUGACUGCGAAAGCAUGGGUGUUGGAGGACUAUGAGGCGGAAGUACGGUCAUCAAAGUACAGGACUGAAUUGCCGGAGGAGGAGAUGAUGGAAGAUGGUAAAUGUUUUCAGUGUCUAUACGGCAAGGUUGUGUCUGAGAACGGCGAUAUGCUGCUAAUCAGUCGCAUUUGUUGGUCCCUCUCCCUGUUUCACUGUGACAACAAGGGCGAGUUGAUCCAGAAAUUCCUAUGGGAGAACGUUGAUCCAAAGCUUCUCGGGAUCUCUUUCAAAGAGAGACUAGUCAGGCAUCCAUUCUUCCAGAGGAAAGAUGGCAGCCGUGUGAGGCUCCCACGUUUUCCCCGAGGGCUGUAG